CGCGGGGUGGAGCAGUUGGUAGCUCGCCAGGCUCAUAACCUGGAGGUCGGAGGUUCAAAUCCUUCCCCCGCUAC
RNAcentral lists this transfer RNA (74 nucleotides) under Candidatus Latescibacteria bacterium ADurb.Bin168. Its description in RNAcentral is "tRNA-Met". It matches the Rfam family "tRNA". Rfam says of the family: Transfer RNA (tRNA) molecules are approximately 80 nucleotides in length. The record is from RNAcentral. Lineage: Bacteria; Pseudomonadati; Candidatus Latescibacterota.